CCUACGGGUGGCAGCAGUGAGGAAUAUUGGUCAAUGGACGAGAGUCUGAACCAGCCAAGUAGCGUGAAGGAUGACUGCCCUCUGGGUUGUAAACUUCUUUUAUAUGGGAAUAAAAUGUUCCACGUGUGGGAUUUUGUAUGUACCAUAAGAAUAAGGAUCGGCUAACUCCGUGCCAGCAGCCGCGGUAAUACGGAGGAUCCGAGCGUUAUCCGGAUUUAUUGGGUUUAAAGGGAGCGUAGGUGGAUUGUUAAGUCAGUUGUGAAAGUUUGCGGCUCAACCGUAAAAUUGCAGUUGAAACUGGCAGUCUUGAGUACAGUAGAGGUGGGCGGAAUUCGUGGUGUAGCGGUGAAAUGCUUAGAUAUCACGAAGAACUCCGAUUGCGAAGGCAGUUCACUGGACUGCAACUGACACUGAGGCUCGAAAGUGUGGGUAUCAAACAGGAUUAGAUACCCGAGUAGUC
This 460-nucleotide ribosomal RNA is filed under the name uncultured bacterium. RNAcentral describes it as "partial 16S ribosomal RNA". It matches the Rfam family "Bacterial small subunit ribosomal RNA", at positions 338 to 795 of the family's 1533-position model. The record is from RNAcentral.